RNAcentral lists this ribosomal RNA (493 nucleotides) under uncultured bacterium. RNAcentral describes it as "bacterial SSU rRNA". It matches the Rfam family "Bacterial small subunit ribosomal RNA", at positions 411 to 902 of the family's 1533-position model. The record is from RNAcentral.
ACGGCUCUAUGAGAUUGUAAACUGCUUUUGUACGAGGAGUAAACUCACCUACGUGUAGGUGACUGAAAGUAUCGUACGAAUAAGGAUCGGCUAACUCCGUGCCAGCAGCCGCGGUAAUACGGAGGAUUCAAGCGUUAUCCGGAUUUAUUGGGUUUAAAGGGUGCGUAGGCGGUUUGAUAAGUUAGAGGUGAAAUCCCGGGGCUUAACUCCGGAACUGCCUCUAAUACUGUUAGACUAGAGAGUAGUUGCGGUAGGCGGAAUGUAUGGUGUAGCGGUGAAAUGCUUAGAGAUCAUACAGAACACCGAUUGCGAAGGCAGCUUACCAAACUAUAUCUGACGUUGAGGCACGAAAGCGUGGGGAGCAAACAGGAUUAGAUACCCUGGUAGUCCACGCAGUAAACGAUGAUAACUCGUUGUCGGCGAUACACAGUCGGUGACUAAGCGAAAGCGAUAAGUUAUCCACCUGGGGAGUACGUUCGCAAGAAUGAAACUC